GGGUGUGGCUCAGCUUGGCUAGAGCGCUUGAUUUGGGAUCAAGAGGUCGCAGGUUCGAAUCCUGUCACGCUCA
This 73-nucleotide transfer RNA is filed under the name Phage sp. ctv3H3. Its description in RNAcentral is "tRNA-Pro". It matches the Rfam family "tRNA". From Rfam's summary of the family: Transfer RNA (tRNA) molecules are approximately 80 nucleotides in length. Their secondary structure includes four short double-helical elements and three loops (D, anti-codon, and T loops). The record is from RNAcentral.